This is a non-coding RNA of Arachis ipaensis, 793 nucleotides long. The record is from RefSeq and is a predicted model, not a curated record. Lineage: Eukaryota; Viridiplantae; Streptophyta; Magnoliopsida; Fabales; Fabaceae.
GUCUUAUUUAAAUAAUUGACAAGUGUCUUACUAAUUCAAAAUACAAACAUAAAAUAUAAUAAAUAAUAAAUAUAAACAAAAAGCAAACAACACAGCAACUUCUUCACGCAACUCUCACCUGCAAAGCUGCAAAAGUAAUAGAAGUAGAUUUGUAAAUCCAAAUCAGAUGCAUGUUGAGCGCGUUUUUUCCUUUUUAGGAUUAAAAUUUGAACUUGCAUUGAAACCAGAGCAAGAGUAAACAAAUUUCAAAUCAGGAUUUUAAAAAUCAAAUCUUUCCUUGAUUCUCUCUCUCUCUUCUUUCUCGCGCUCUCUCUCGGAUUUGUUUUUUCUAUCAUCUUCUUCGUCUGUAUCGAGGAAGCUAUCGAGCAGUGGUAGAAAGUAUUGAUUAAGUGAGAGUGUUAAAACAAACGAAGAAAAUGAGAGCAAGAUCUGAGAGAAGAGGAGGCAGACAAAGAGAAUCGAGCUUCAGGAGCAGAGGCGAAGAGAACUUUCACAGUGGAAAAGAAGCUCUCAUGCCAAUGUCAAAUAUGGUUACUGCGAUGCACUAAAUCUUGCUGCUAUCAGCCAAGAGGCAGCAGUUCGGUAGCAAAGUGGUGACGCCAGAAAGCUAACCGGUGGAUAUUCACCGUUGGAGAUGGGAGAGAAGAAUGGUGAUGGAUAUCUUGCCAUUGAAGAUGUUAUCGGCUGUGAGGCAAAGGUAAGCCUUUUUUUUUUUUAAUUUCAAAAUAAAAAACUACUGUAUUUUUUUCUAAUCUUCUUCUGUUUUUAUUUCAAAACAUUUGUUUCCCUUCUU